RNAcentral lists this non-coding RNA (31 nucleotides) under Homo sapiens (human). The record is from RNAcentral. Lineage: Eukaryota; Metazoa; Chordata; Mammalia; Primates; Hominidae.
UACCCUCUAUCCCACCACUGGAGCUGUGGUC